Molecule: long non-coding RNA, 2484 nt
Organism: Parus major (Great Tit)
Lineage: Eukaryota; Metazoa; Chordata; Aves; Passeriformes; Paridae
Exons: 2
Source: RefSeq, a predicted model, not a curated record
GGUGCCGCCUGUCCUGCACAGCCAGGCCCGGCCCGGUGUCAGACCAAGUCGUCGUUGUUCAGCCACGCGGCCGGUGCCCGCCCAGCCCUGGGCCCCGCCGGGAGAUGCAGCUGUUCCUAACUCCUCCACCAACACGGCUAAUACACAUGGAGAUGUGAUGCACCAGCGGAUAAGGACCUGAAGCCAGUGAGGUGGCUUUGCCCAAGGCCCAAAGAUGGGCAAAGCAAAUUUCUCUGGUGGUGGCAGUGGUACCUGUGGCAUGGGAGCUCCAGCAAUGCUCUGGCUUUGGGGUCUUUUGAUGCUCCUUGUUGACAGAAUCAACAAAAACCACGUGUAGCAGCAGCAAAAAUAGGACUGAGUUACAACCACAGCUUCAUCUCCUCCAGCAAUUUGUCUCCAAAAGCAGCUGGUGGUCAGUGGGCAAGGCUGGAAACCAACAUUCUCCAGCCUCCCGUCAUCCCAUGUGUUCCAAGGGCCAGGGUUCUCAGAGAUAAGAAACAGGUGGAAGAAGGAGGCUGAGGUCUGGCACUACCCUGGCUCUGGGAAAAGCAAAUCCACCCUCUCCUGAGCCUGCUCCUCUUUCCCUGAGGUGGCACAGCCUGGUGCCCAUCCAUUGAACCAGACUCAGGAAAACCUGACUGAGCUACAGGAAAUGGGGUUGGUUUUUACCAGCCAAACUAUUUUUAAAAACUUUAAUAAUGUAAACAAAAUACUGCUGUUGUUGUUUUGUUUGGGGUUUUUUUUUGGGUUUUUGUUUGUUUGUUUGUUUUGGGGGGUUUUUGUUGGUUUUGUUUUUUAAACACAGCCAAGAUAAGGAAAGCCAAGAGACUGAAGAUCUUGCUGGUAUCACUGUGUUUCAUAUUACAUUUUUUUUUGCCUCAUCCCUGAAUAUUGAUAUUCCCACAGCUGGCAGUAAUUCCUGCUCCUAAAAGCAGGAACACUAGGAGCAUCAUUGCUGGAUUAUGCAGUGAGUAACAACCACCACCAAAGUGCUGAAACUGAAACUGCAGACUUCACACAGGGCAAAUCACUGUCACUAAAGGCUCUAAAAUGUAAAGUAAACUUUAUUAUCCUUGAACCACAAAAUAGAUUUCUUUGGUUGUACAAAUUUCACUAGUUACAGUCUUGCUGCGCUAAUUUUCCCUCUGAGUCUCUUGGGAGAGAACGGGAGAGAAUCCAGAGCCUGGCACCAGGUACCGCACAGGAAAAGAAGAGAAGAAUCACAAGUUAGUCACCAAAACCCAGCCAGGAUUGUUUCCAAAACUGCUGUUGUUAAAAAGCAAAUGCUAAAAUUAGAUUUAAAAAGGAAAAGCUCAAAUUGCUGAUGAUGGAAGCAGCUGCAGCUGCAGUGUGAGAUUAUCAGUUCCUCCUUCACAAGUUUGUAAAAUCAAAACAUACAGAGUCAGUUAAAAUGAUCUGCUGGAUUUUGGCAUGAAAGGAGAUGCUCAACUAAAAAACUGCACCCAAAAAACUGCAUCCAGCUCUUUCCUUCAGCAAAUGCACAAGCAGAUGUGCCUGUCACUGCCCAGCCACUGUGAGGCUCGAGGUCCAACCCUGGUCUUACUGGGGAGUCAGAGAGCACCAAAGGACAAGGAAUGGGAUUGUGCUGAGCUUGAACCUUCCUCACGGUUAGAGGCAGUGAAAAAAAACCAAAAAGAAAAGGGUUGUUUCCCCUCACUAGUGGCAGCAGAAGCUGAUGGCAGAGUCAGGAGCAGCAGCUGUGACCUCCACAUCUGCAGAGCUCACAUGAUACAGAAUCUGCUCACAGCCCUUGUUCCACAUGUGGAAACCAGGACUCACACCCCCACUCAUUUCUCAUUUUCCUUUUUCCCUCUUGCGUGGCCAAACGUGCAUUUUCCCUGUCUUCCAUGGAAAGGGGCCUGAAGCCAAUGAGCUGGCAGAGUGGAACUGUGUAGUUAUUGCAAGGCACAGGCCAGCCCCAUCCUGCUGUGUGGUGCUCCUGGUGCUCCCUGCCAGCCCACACCAGCACCCUGACACCCCACUCCAGCCUCAGCCAGCGUGGACACCGUGGACUCCCCACCAGUGUCUCCCAAGUCAAAGAUCCUGUAACUCCCAACCUGACCCGAGCAACGCCACGUUCCACCCAUCCCCAGUUCCUGAACUCUACCCACUAAGGUACCUGCUGUCACACCUCCCACCUCUGCCACCGUCUCCUACCCCAAUUGUCCUGCUCCCCCCUGCUGUCACACACCCCCUACACCCCUGCUAAGGCUGCUGGCUCCAUCCCAUUCCUGCCCCAGUUGACCAGUUCAGCCCCAGUGCUACAGGAGAGACCUGUUGUAGACAACCCUCCAGUUGUGGGCUCAUGGAGUGGCUCACACCGUGUGUGACAAAGGGGUGUGACCGACCAGGGAGGGACCUGUCCCCAGGACAGUGCAAAGCCCCGGCAGGAGCACUGUCCCACCAAGACAGAGGCAGGUGGUGGAGAGCUGGCUCUGUUUUCCUUAAGCACAGAGUGUCAGU